This is a non-coding RNA of Solanum lycopersicum (tomato), 624 nucleotides long. NCBI's taxonomy places the organism in Eukaryota, Viridiplantae, Streptophyta, Magnoliopsida, Solanales, Solanaceae. The record is from RefSeq and is a predicted model, not a curated record.
GUUGGCAAGUGGUCCUUGGCUACAUCUUUCUUUCUGCCCCUCAUGCCAGGUCUUUCCUGUAAAUCAUUAUUAUUUCCUUCUACAAAACCAUGGUGUGACUUAAGCAUACAUAUGGUGUUCCUUCGCAGUUCCCAGAUCAAGUAGUAUGGGCGAACAUUCAGAAAUUAAAUGUGAUAUCUUUGUGUGUUGACUGCGUGAAACAACAUGAGUAAGUUGUAUUUUUCGGUACAACAAUGCUUUCGUUAGAGUUGAGUCAAACUUUAUGAACUUAUAAGAUCGAUUUGUUCUUAAUUUCAUAGUUUUCAAACUUUGGAUAUUGACACAUGCAUGUACAAAAGUAAUUAAAAGAUGUAGUCGUAGUAGUUCGUUACAUUCAUAUAAAAUAUAUGAUACAUGUUUUCAAUAAUGAGUAUCAUUGGUAUAUUUGGCAAAGACACAAGGGUGGUCUCAAAAAGGGAUGCACAUGCACCCCGUUAACUUUCGAAAAAAUCAUGUAUAUAUAUGUAUAUCUAUUUUAAAAACUGGUAGAAAUUAGGAUAUACUUACCGAUGUAUCCAUAGAAAAUGUAGAAGUUCCUUGUGCAAUUGGUAGAAGCAAGAGAUUUCACAUUGUGGACUACGGUUA